UACGAAGGGGGCGAGCGUUGUUCGGAAUUACUGGGCGUAAAGGGCGCGCAGGCGGCGGACCAAGUCAGGCGUGAAAGCCCCGGGCUCAACCUGGGAGGUGCGUCUGGGACUGGUUUGCUGGAGUUCGGGAGAGGAGCGUGGAAUUCCCAGUGUAGAGGUGAAAUUCGUAGAUAUUGGGAAGAACACCGGUGGCGAAGGCGGCGCUCUGGACCGAGACUGACGCUGAGGCGCGAAAGCGUGGGGAACAAACAGG
RNAcentral lists this ribosomal RNA (253 nucleotides) under uncultured bacterium. Its description in RNAcentral is "partial 16S ribosomal RNA". It matches the Rfam family "Bacterial small subunit ribosomal RNA", at positions 524 to 776 of the family's 1533-position model. The record is from RNAcentral.